Long non-coding RNA from Lactuca sativa (garden lettuce), 615 nucleotides. RefSeq lists it as uncharacterized. Lineage: Eukaryota; Viridiplantae; Streptophyta; Magnoliopsida; Asterales; Asteraceae. The record is from RefSeq and is a predicted model, not a curated record.
UAAAAUUAUUGAAAAAUACGGAAGGUGUAGGACCUCCAAAGUACACAACACUCAGAUUUCAUGUGUAGGUGGUUUUGGAGUUAUCAAUAUUAAUUUGAAAAUUAUUGAGUUUAGUUUUUGUUAUAUUGCAAGAUCGGAAGGUGCACAGGAUACAUUCUCAUAAGCUGAUUUGAUCUGAAUAACAUGGAGAUCCGGGGCGUUGCCCUCAGUGGGGGUUCUAAUGGGCGUCGCCCCAAGUGACUUUUAAAAGGAAGUGCUAGGGUCUAAGGGACAGAGUCUCUGACGUUAGUCCUCCUGGCCAGUCAAGGGGGACCGCCAUUGCGGUGUGCAAGGCAAUUCCCCAACCUGAAAAAGAUAUAUCAAUAGCAUAAGAGGAGAGGAUGACAUGUAUUUAUGAGAAUCAGAGAAUGAUCAUUGAAGUACCGUGUUACAAUUACAAAAGUGGUCCUCAUCUUUAUGUUCAUUGAUUUUGAGAACACCACGCAUGUGAAGAUGUCUAUGUCUACUUGUUCUUUUACUUUGCUUUGUAACAUCAUUGUUGAGGACCCAAUUUGAAACAAUUAUUUAUUUGUACCAUGUAAUGAUUACAUUAUUUAAAGUUUUUGCUUGAUUUUA